Molecule: small RNA, 4181 nt
Filed under: Histoplasma capsulatum G186AR
Lineage: Eukaryota; Fungi; Ascomycota; Eurotiomycetes; Onygenales; Ajellomycetaceae
Description: hypothetical RNA
Source: RNAcentral
GGUCUGGGAUUUAUACGCCGGAUCCCCGAAGACAUGGCAUCUGUGGAGUGCAAACGCUGGGAAAGGGGAGAGAUAGUUAACUAUUCUUGCAUCGUCUUGACUAACUAUUGCAAUGCAAGUUUUGGGGUCAAAUCCGUUGCAAACUUCUUCUCUUCGGGCAUGGAGUCCAACCACUUGAACACUCCUCUAACACGUUGGAUGGGCGCCUCACGGUCCACGACAGUUUCGUCAGUAUCACCACUGUCUUCACGUUUAUGAUCCGAGGGUUCGGCGGCCCCGCUCAUCCCAGCGACUCUCUGUAAUACCCAUUGCAUUUCUAGGAGAUCCCAGCUCGGGAGCGGUCGUUUAUCCGGAUCAUCCGUGCUAACGGUAACUCUCUGCCCAGAUACGAGAGCCUCGUACUUAGGCUGGCCGUUCUUCUCCCUCUUGCCUGUUACACAAGACAGACCCUCACCAUCGUCGUAAUCAUAGAGGCCCCGAGAUGUCUCCGGUUCACUAAGUAAGUCGAUUUCAUCUUUUCCGUGCGCGGGUUUUUUUUGCCAGUAGAAUUCGAUUUGCAUCGCCUUUCGAUCAGCAGACAAAGCCACAGGUCGCAGCGCGAACCUACCCGCCCCCCAAAGCGCAUGGGCACGUUUAUCGAGACUAAGCAUAUUCGAGCAAGUGUCGACGGGAUCAGUCAGGUUUGGCGAAUCCCGAAAGACUUCUGCCUUCCAUCUAUCCACCCGUUCCUUCUCCCAGAAUAUCUUCAGGAGAUCCCAAAAUCUCUGAGAAACUCUUGGUUCUCGCUGUGCCGUUCUAAGAAGGCAGAGUGGGUAGAUAUGGGCCACUUCUGGAUACGUCCAUCCUAUGAUCGAUGUAUCGAUGACGCGCUGCUCUUUGCACUUGCGUUUUGUAACCCUGAAGAAAAUGCGCAUCAGAAAAGCUUUCUAUUAUGGGUGGAAGUACCAGUGACACUCACAUCUGUCGACAACCAAAUCGGAGUCAUAGAUGGUUGCCUCCAAAAACCCACGAGUGACCGCGGCUUUAGGCAUCUCACUCACAUCGCGAAUCAUGCUCUCCAAUUGGGAAACAUCCGCGGUUUGGCACAAAGCCCAGAAGCACGGUGGUACUGUCACGCUACCCGUCACAUCAUUUAAAACCGUCUUCAACUGCUUCAGAAUGUCCGUUCGCUGGCUUGAACGUACAUUCCAAUGUUCACCUUCUAGAUCACUCAAGGGAAUCUUCAAAGUCAUCGCCAUCUCCGUUGAUGAUUCAAAGCUAAACAGGAAAUCCGAUUGCGGUGGCCCUGGGGAUCAGGAUUCAAAAACAGAAGGUCAGUUGAGUCACACGUUUUUGGGCUGAUUCAAAGUGGAACAGAAGGGAACUUUUAUCUUCCGUGGUGAGUGGCGACCUUAGGAGGAUGAGGUCGCUGAAGGGGAGUUGAGAGCAGGUUUGGCUUCCUCUGUUCCCUGGUUUUCUCCCCUUGCCUUGUUGGGGUUGUUUGCUCCUGCUUGGUCAGGGGAGGCGGAUGGGAAAGGAGGAGAAUACCGUCGAGAGGCUGUUCUGAUUUCCAGAGAAGCUGACCUGAGUUCGUGACUGACUGGGUAGGUCACUUUCGGGGCAAGCUAUCAGUGUGUGGUUGCGAGCACCAGGAGAAGCAAUAUGGUCUUGCUAACCACUGUUUGCUGCUUGAACACGCUGUAUAUGUUGGCCCUAGGCUGCCUAUCACGGACUAGCGCACCGCACAUAUAUGCCUCAGCUGCCUACAUGCUAAUACAACCACUUAGACGUCCCACAGGCUUGUGUAGUAGCUCCAACACCGUACAAUAUCCCGUGACCCAUAGCGUAAGCGCCAACAUCAAAUUAGCGUCCCAAUCAGUCGGUUCCGUUCCCUGGUUUCAGGAUCCUCGACUUUGCCUCAUUCGGUUUAGGUGGAUUCAUAUGCUCAUUCGGAGCAAAUGCCAUAUCGGCAGAAGGUUUCGUUGUUCUUCUUUUUCGAUUACGUGAAAUUUUUAGAGAGAUAGAUACAAGGGAAACAACUACCAUAAGUUUCUCUAAUCAGUGUUUUUAAUUCCAACUCGCUCAAUUCACACAACCCCUCCUCUAAAUAUAAAAACAAUACCCAAAAACCUCUACUAUUAGCAACUUGGGGGCAAAAGAAAAAGAAAAACCUCUUAACUUGCGUAUGAUAUCAUCGUCCUCAUCAAUUUCACGCACAACAAACUGCUACCACCCCCAUGCCAAUCUGAUUCCAGCGCAUCGAACCCAUAUCCCCAGCCCAAAAAGCAACCAACGCAAAAGGGGAUUUUGAAAACAAACAAAAGGGACAGAAGGCCACCCAAUAGAGUCAAUGAAAAAAAAAAAAAGGGAGGGGGGGAACAAAAAAACCAAACAACAGGCAGGCAGGUUGGAAGGCACGCCAAAAAGCACCGGACGAAAGCAACGAGAAGGGGUGCCGGGAAACAGAAGGGCAAAACACAUAAAUCAGAAAAAGCCGCCGCACACCAAUCACCAAUUCAAACCAGUCUUGUUAUCCACGCGCAAAAACCAAAAACUGAAAAAAAAAGCCACCCAAAAACAAACCAAAAACAUGCAGAUCACAAAGAGCCACCCAUCCCAAUUUUGCAAUGUUUCCCUCCCUCAGUUUAUAUAUGUAUAUAUGUAUGUAUUGUUGCACCCCGGUCCCCUUGUCAAAAAGUGGGGAAAAUAAACACGUUCAACCACCCUGUAGAUUGCUCGUUGCCUUAUCGUGCCCGAGCAUAACAUGCAUGCAAUUUUGAACGAAGCCUCCCAGUUGAAAAACAACAGCAAAAAGAAAAAAAAAAAAAAGGAAAGAAAAGAAAAGACAAAACGUAGCAGACACGAACUACUCGCAUCGUACGUGCAGGGAUAUCACCUCUCCUUGCCAAAACAUAUAUUGGCGAUUGCAUCCAAAUAGUUUCUCAGGUCCGCUUCCUGCUCUUUCUAUGCCGUAUUUCUCACGGAAGAGAGCAAGGGCCAGCCAAUUUUCCACGACUGUAUAUCGGACAAAGGGACCAGAGGACAAGGGGGAACGAUCGAGAAAGACAAAAAGGCAAAAGGCGGGAGAUGUAGGUAAGGGACAAGAAGAAAAAAAGGUGAUAAUCGUCGCCACUUCGCCUCUAUUUUCUCUCCAUACAGAGACAAAGAUAAAUAAAAGAGAAGGACGAAACCUGCGACUAGUUUUCUUUUUUCCUUUCCGUUUCCUUUUCUUUUCCAAAAACCCUUUGCUUUUUUGCCUUUGCCCGUUUGUAAUUUCUCCUCGACGUCUUCGGACAAUAAAAUGCCCGAAGAACAGGAAAACGAAAACGAAAACAAUGCACAAAAGAGAUUAAAACAGAAUUCACAAGUAGCCUCCGGAAUUGUCGACGAUGUAAAACAAAAUAUAACAGAAGGCCUCCCAAAGACAUAGGAAAUGAAAAACAAGAACAGCACAUUGCGGGCGUAUAGAAAACAAAAAAGAACACAAAACAAUAACCCAAAAAGCAGAAACCGAUUUGGGGAUGAAAAGGAGGAAGGGGAACAUAGGGUGAGAAAUACUAAACAGGUUUUCUUUCUUUCUUUCUUUCUUUCUUUCUUUUUUUUUUUUUUUUUUGCUACCAACAAAAGAAUUGAAGCUAUUAGUGUCAUAAGUACGUAUAUUUAAAUACGAUAAAAAAAAACACCAUGCUCAAUUUCCUUCCUGGGAGCUCGCUAGUUAACUUUAUACGUGGCCCAGGAGUCGGUUGGUUUGGUGCUGGUUAGGUACUUCUUCGUUUUAGGGGAGAGGGGGGAGGAAGUGAUGAGGAGAAGCGGGAAAGGAGAGAAGAAAAUGUGAUUAACGGGUCGCCCCAUGUAGUUUAUAUAAAGUGAACUCUUUUAGCGGGUUGUUUAUGAAAGGGAGGAAAGAGAAUUAAAAGCAAAACAAGUGGGGUAACUGGGAAUGGGAACGCAUGCAAAGGAGUGAACUGAAAAAUCUGCUAGAAGGGGGAAAAGGACAGCAAUGUCAAGAAACAAGAAACCAAAUGCGGUUGGAUAUUUUCAUUGCUGGGAAUGAAAUCAUUUUUCACCACAAAAACUAUCAAUGGCUUUCAAAUAAGCAGACAGGGCCCGAUUUUGGGAAACAAGGCCUCUAGAAAUAGAGUCGCCGGUUAUCCAAAACGAACAAGAUACGCCCUGACCAAGCAUUCGCAGCACUCAAACGU